Molecule: long non-coding RNA, 511 nt
Organism: Cyprinus carpio (common carp)
Lineage: Eukaryota; Metazoa; Chordata; Actinopteri; Cypriniformes; Cyprinidae
Exons: 3
Source: RefSeq, a predicted model, not a curated record
UAGGAGAGGUGAACUUAACUCCGUUUUGGGAAACCACAUUCACAGCUCCGCAGCUGUCAGUAACAUCGAACCAAACCUAUCUGAAUGUGACGGUCUCGCCGCCGAUGGCCGCUUGGAACCACUCUAUUGAGAAUAUCAGCUUCUGGGGAAAAGCUUUCCUGAGAUCAUCCGUUAAGUACACAGUUCGUCUGACACAUCCCGAGUCACUGGCUGGAAAGUUGCAGGUGUCUGAGGGCACGUCUCGCUCAGUGUUUAUUUGGCUCAAGGAGACAGACGUGAAGUACUGUGGUGAUGUGUUAUAUACACUCACACAUCCCGGUCGGUCCAGUGCCAGUGAAAACGCUUCUAUUUUGUGUGACUGUCUCAGGUAACUCAACAGUUUGUGCUUUGAUUGAUGUGUAGAAAACUAGUCCACAUUCCGAUGACUGAAUCCGAACACCCAUUAAUUAGGAAAACAAUUCAUGCUUUCAGUGUUUUAUUGUUUCCCUUCAUUAAUACCCGAACUAAAUCU